UAAAUGAACAUGUUUUCACAAAAUCUUUCUUCAAAGGCCUACGAAGAGAUGUUCAAAACAUCUCUCGCUUAUCAACUUAAUAUUCGUUUUGUUGAGGGAGUAGUGUUGGGCUACAUCAAUUUUAUUUUAAUCUUAUUAAAAGAACUUGGGCCUAUCACAACCAUUGGUCCAAGUUAAUAUUAAUUAGUAGUAUAUAAUACUCCCACUAUUUCGAUGAAACAAGCGAGACUAUAUGGAACUACUAACGAAUG
Molecule: long non-coding RNA, 251 nt
Filed under: Malus domestica (apple)
Lineage: Eukaryota; Viridiplantae; Streptophyta; Magnoliopsida; Rosales; Rosaceae
Description: long non-coding RNA (MDOM_LNC004187)
Source: RNAcentral